CGAGUAGCCUGACGGAGCAAGACCGCGUGAGGGAGGAAGGCCCUUGGGUUGUAAACCUCUUUUGUCAGGGAAGAACACAAUGACGGUACCUGACGAAUCAGCCUCGGCUAACUCCGUGCCAGCAGCCGCGGUAAUACGGAGGAGGCAAGCGUUAUCCGGAAUUAUUGGGCGUAAAGCGUCCGCAGGUGGCUAUUCAAGUCUGCCGUCAAAGACCGGGGCUUAACCCUGGAAAGGCGGUGGAAACUGAAAGGCUAGAGAGAGGUAGGGGUAGAGGGAAUUCCCAGUGUAGCGGUGAAAUGCGUAGAGAUUGGGAAGAACACCGGUGGCGAAAGCGCUCUACUGGACCUCAUCUGACACUAGAGGACGAAAGCUAGGGGAGCGAAUGGGAUUAGAU
Molecule: ribosomal RNA, 394 nt
Filed under: uncultured bacterium
Lineage: Bacteria
Description: bacterial SSU rRNA
Rfam family: Bacterial small subunit ribosomal RNA
Source: RNAcentral